GUCCAGCUCUGUGACACUGAAGGUCACCAGUUCCCUUGCUGGCUUCGACUGAAUGAUUCCCCUGUGAAGUCCCUUGUUUACUGUAUUUGUAAUUAGCCACCAAGAACUUGAGUAACCGGUUUCCGAGGAGAACAUAUAUCCUGAAUCAGUUCCUGGACAUUUGUUUGAGGUCUUGUAAGGGAAACUGAAGGGAAUUGUGUAUUGAACAGGAUGGCUUAGACCUGCUCAACUUCUGAGAAUUGAGGCAAAGUGGGCAAUCCAGAUGUAUCACUUGACUUUCUGACUACUGGAAGAAUUUCCCUUCAUUAUUGCACACCAGGGGUAUCCCACAGGCCAUCCUCGAUAAUGGCUUGGUUUCAUCAUUAAAAUUGUUCUCUUUGAGUCAAGAUAAUAUAGUUCCCAAGAGCUAUGUCAUACCAUCAGAAAAAAGAUAAACUUGGGCCAAACAUGAUGAGUUUCUCCUCAUGAAGAGAGAAGAGAUCAAAAGAAGGAUGAUCCCCACACAGAUGUGCAAGUGACUAAUUCAGUCCAGAAGGAAACCAGGCCCCCCUCACAGUGUUGAGAGAAGACAGCACCAGCCAGCCUUGUAGCCUGAGAAGCUGUCUCCUCACCAGCUUUCUCCUCACCAACUCUUCAAAGAUCCAGUUGAUACAAAAUGCACAUGCUAAAAUAUGAUUCCCCAGUCCUGUCCAAGCUGAUGUGGUCUUCUCCAAGCCCCCAGUCCUGACCAAGCUGAAUCUCCUUUGUCACUCAUGGGGCAACAGGGACUUACCUGCCAGUGCAGGAGAAAGGAGAGAUCCUUUAGAACAGGAGCUAAGAUGCCAGGAGCUCACGCAAAAUGCUUGAAGAAAGGGGCUUAGCCAGAAACCGAACUGGGAGUUGAUGCCCAGUUUAGGAAGAGUUCAAAUCGAGGAGUCAGAAGCAGCAAAUUCUACAUCAGAUCCACAAAUUCUUAACUAGAAGAAUAAAAACAAGUCAAAUCAAGUUGGGCUCAAAAGGAAUAUAGGGGCAGAAGAGGUGAUGUGCAGAUGGGUGUGCCUGGCCAAAUGGUGGGGGUAGGCACAGGCAGCACACACCAUUGAUUUCUUUGCUUCCUUUUUUAAAGAUUUUAUUUUUAAGAGCAGUUUCAGGUUCAAAGCAAAGUUAGAAGUACCAAGAUUUUUUCCAUAUACCCCUGUCCCUACAUAUGCAUAGCCCCCUCAUUAUCAAAAUCCCCUAUCAGAGUGUAAUAAAUGACAAUGAACCUACGUUGGACGCAUCAUAAUCACGUAAAGUCCUGGUGUACAUUAGCUUUCACUCUUGGUGUUGUACAUUCUAUGAAUUCGGACAAAUGUGUAAUGGCAUGUGUCCACUGUUAUGGUAUCAUACAGAGCACUUUCACUGCCACAAAAAUUUUCUGCUCUCUGCCUAUAGUUGGGGAUCAGAAACCAAUACCCCAAAAUAUGGCAUUUUGACAUGCUGAACUGAAGAAGCUUUAAUGUCUCUCUGACCUUCCUUCUUCUGCCCCACCUUCUUUCCCAAAACCUAGGAUUAUCUUGUUCCCUUAUCUGCUUAAAGUCCGAACCUGCCAAAGAAGAAAACAAUGACCUCUGCACCCUUCCCUGAGUUUCCAUUAACUGAACCUAGAUUCCAGGAAGAAAGAUUGAAGUCUGUCAACACACCUGGACAGACUUUUAUCACAAACCAUUGUCCACUCUGCUAACCCAACAGAUUUUGUCCCAGACAACUGUAUUCUCUUCAAGCCCAUUGAAUUCUCCCUAGGAAUCAUGCAUUGCCCCUCAACAGAAUUCCUCUUGUCCCUACUCACAUAGUUUGCUUUGCCGGGAUCCUAAGAUUUCUUGGAAAACCUUAGGACCAGGAGGUAUUCUUGUGGACUCAUUCUGUUUUUCUGUAACCUCAAGAUGGUGUAUAAGCUUCUGCCCCCUAAUCGGGGGUUGGAGUAAUCACUGUGUCUCCUGUGUGAAAGUAAACACAUUUGUAUGCCCUUUUCCCAAUUAAUCUACCUUCUGUGAGUUGAUUUUUUAGCGAAACUUCAGAGGGCUCUUUGACUCCUACACUAUUUAUCCCUCCCCCUCCCUUCAGCCCCUAACAACCACUGAUCUUCUUACUGCCUCCACAGUUUUACCUUUUCCAGAAGGUCAUAUAGUUGAAAUAUUACAGUCCGUUACCUUUUCAGAUUAGCUUCUGUCACUUAGUAAUAUAUAUUUAAGAUUCCUCCAUGUCUUUUCAUGGCUUGAUAGUUCAUUUCUUUUCAGUAUUAAAUGAUAUUCCAUUGUUUGAUGUACCACAAUUUAUCCCUUACCUACUGAAGGAAUACCUGGUUGUUUCCAAGAUUUACCUGGCCACCUAUGGAAUACUGUAGUUUCCAAAACUGGCCAUAAGAUAUUUCCUACUAUUCUUGCAUAUUGCAGUUGCAUAAGAAUUGCGUCCUAAGAUUUUCCAGAAAUUUGGCACUUCUCCAUCAAGACAUGGAUUCUACUUCCUCUUCCCUUAAGUCUAGGCAGAUUUGUGACUGGUAACCACAGAGCAUGGUAGAAAUUACACGGAGUGAUUUCUGAGGUUAUAAAUGAUGAAGCUCAUCUACCUCACAGGAACAUAGGCAUUGAGUCCUGAGCCACCAAGCAAGUGUCCAACUACUCUGAAACUGCCAUGUGUUAAGUGAAAAGAUAGCAAGGGGAAGCACUGAAGCUGCAUCGUGAGCGAGAGAUGCCCAGCCACCAGGCAGCUGCUCCACCCACCUCACCCUCAGCCUACUUUCCUCCACCCUCAACCUUGUACUUUUGUUGCUCCAACCACUGUCUGGUUACAAUCAGAGGAGAGAUUCCAAGACAGUAGCACCCAGCUAAACCCUUCCUGAAUUCGCAACUCACAAAAGUUAUAAAAGACAAUAAAAUGACUGUUCUUUAAGUUAUAUGUUUUGAAGUGAAUUAUUAUUCAGCAACAAAUAACCCAUAACAUCAUCCUUUUUUCCUCACCUCCACUUCCCAGUUUUGCCUCCAGUCUGAGUACUUAAAGUUAGGCCUACAAAUCCAGUCCUUUCCCUUCAAAGGAAACUUAUUAUAAACUGAGGCAUCCAGAAAAAGGCUGUCAUGAGGUUUUAAUGUCAUUCUCUGCUCUCUUCAUU
This 3124-nucleotide long non-coding RNA is filed under the name Homo sapiens (human). RNAcentral describes it as "HSALNT0199924". The record is from RNAcentral. Lineage: Eukaryota; Metazoa; Chordata; Mammalia; Primates; Hominidae.